GACGAACGCUGGCGGCGUGCUUAACACAUGCAAGUCGAACGGAAAGGCCCCUUUGGGGGUACUCGAGUGGCGAACGGGUGAGUAACACGUGAGUAACCUGCCCUUGACUUCGGGAUAACUUCAGGAAACUGGGGCUAAUACCGGAUAGGAAUCCUUGCUGCAUGGUGGGGGUUGGAAAGCUUCGGCGGUUUUGGAUGGACUCGCGGCUUAUCAGCUUGUUGGUGGGGUAGUGGCUUACCAAGGCUUUGACGGGUAGCCGGCCUGGGAGGGCGACCGGCCACAUUGGGACUGAGAUACGGCCCAGACUCCUACGGGAGGCAGCAGUGGGGAAGAUUGCACAAGGGGCGGAAGCCUGAUGCAGCAACGCCGCGUGCGGGAUGACGGCCUUCGGGUUGUAAACCGCGUUCAGCAGGGGCGAAGCUUGUGGUGACGGUACCUGCAGAAGAAGCACCGGCUAACUACGUG
RNAcentral lists this ribosomal RNA (465 nucleotides) under uncultured bacterium. RNAcentral describes it as "partial 16S ribosomal RNA". It matches the Rfam family "Bacterial small subunit ribosomal RNA", at positions 28 to 507 of the family's 1533-position model. The record is from RNAcentral.